ACAUCACAAAGAGAAGCAAAGGAAGGCUCAGUGUGGGUCAGGGUGUGAGUGUGGGGCUCCCCUAAUCACUCCCUUAUCUCUAUGGCCAUGGUCACCUGGAGACCCAGGUGGGCUUCCUCAAGGAGCUGCUGCCUGAACUGGGUAAGGUAAGGAAGGGAGGAAAGGUCUCAGCCAGGGAGAAUGGCAUGUGCAAAGAUAGGGAGGCAUGAAAUAGCAUGGCUCAGUGUAUAAACCCUCAGGGAGUUUGGAGUGGCUGCAAAGUACAGGGUGGGUGGGAGAUGAGACUGGAGAGGUGGGUCUUAGAAAUGAAGCCAGAGGCCCUAAUAAACCAAUCAUGAUGCUUGUUUUGGGGGUUAUUUUAACAGAAGAGUGACAUAGUCAUAUAAGAGUUUUUAAAAUACAGGGAGUGAAUUGGAGGGAUUUGUCUUUGAAGAAGGAAAGUUACUGCAGUAAUAAAGUAAGAAGUGACGAAAGGAAGCAGUAGCAGGAGGAAUAGAGAGUAAGGAAAUAUUCUAGUAGUAGCAUUGACAUUGGUGACCAGUUAGCACUAUCGACAUUUGAUGAGUGCUUACUAUGUACCACAUAGUGGGCUAAACAAAUGUGUUAACUCAGUCAACCUCUACAACAGCCUAUUAUUAUCCCCAAUUUACAUGUAAGGAAAUCGAUUCACAGAGGGAUGAAAUGAUACGUCCAAAGUCACACAGCUGGUAAGCAGAGAAUCUGAAGUUCAACCUGUUCAACUCUUGACUCAUCAUUUUUCUCCCUACGUUGGUUCUUCCCUGGUUCUUCCUGGCACCACCAACCCUCACACCAGAAGUCUUAGAGCCCUGGUCCCGAACUCAGGUUUCAGAGUUGGUGGCUCUGAGAUGCUGGCAGGGCAUCAGAGUUGGCUGGAACCUUGAAGAACCUCCAAGAAUCUUGGAAGGAGGAUGCUGUCUCAGAAACAAAGAGAAGCAAAGAGCUUUACAGAGGAUGAAGCAGCCAACGCGGCCUAAAGCAGCAGGGAGGUCUAGAAAGAUAAGGACCAAAAAACAUAGCAACAGCAAAGUCACUGCUAAAUUCUACCCCAGCACUUUUAGUGGAGUUGUGGAAGAAAGCAAAGUUUAGACUGCAGUGGGAUGAGAAGGAAAAUGUUUUCAUGAAGCUUGGCUGUGAAACAAGGGAGAUCACAUCACAAGGUCCACACAAGUGUUUAUUGUUGUCAUUUCUGGUUUUUUAAGCAGUGAAGAAACACAACCAUGCUUAUAGCCUGAGGAACAGGAAGAAGACUGGAGAACUGAAGGAAUGCAUUUCCUGAAGGGAUGAGAGGCCAAGGAAUCCAGAAAUGAUGGUGGGGGUAUAGGAAAAACAUGGAAGGAAGAGAGAGAGAAUGCAGCAAAACUGGGUAAAAAAGUUCUGCUCCAAGAUCUCUAAGGUCCAAAAAGUUGAGUGACUUCCCACCUGAUGGCCUCUAUUCACUCUGUAAAGUAAGAGGGGCUUCAUCUGCUGAAAAUUCAUGGAGAGUUAGGAAGGAGGAGAGCUAGUUGUUAAAUUUUCAGAAAUUCUGUGCGUGGGUUGUUAAAUACAGCCACUAAAAUGGGAGUCUUGGUGAGAGCAUUUACACCAUAAAAACUGGCAAGUGUCUUUUUCUUUUUUUUCAGAGCCAGUUUAUCAGCACACCACUGGGUUGGGGGCUUGAAUAAAGAGAUGGCUCCAAAAGGGGAUGAAGGGAACAGGAGGCAGUAUAGGACUGUGCGGGAUGACCUGACAUCAGUGAGGAACUUUGGAAGUGCUAUUCCUCCCCUAGCAGCUUGGCAGGCUGGGUGUAGAGCAGCAAAGACAGAUGGCUGGAUGGAGCUAAAACCUGAGAGUCUGCAGGAUGAGUGUGGUGGAGGGUAAGAGCACAAAAGCAUUGAUUUGACCAGCAAUGGUUUAAGGGGAUGAGCUCUGGAGCUUAGCUUGGAUAAGGAAGGAAAGGAGGCCAAUUGGAGGGCCACUAAGUUGGGAGAAGUGAUGAGAUGAUGGAGGUAACAGAAGGAACAGUGGUAAUGGAUACUGCAGUUUUAGCUUUUCGAGAUGGAGCAACCUCAUAGUGACAGUAUCAAGAUUGUAGCCAUGGAUGCGGACAUCUGAAGCAGAAUGGAGGUAAGACUUAUUGGGUUCAAUCUUUCUAGAUGCAAAAUUCUUGUAACUGUAAGGCCUUGGUAUUGGUUGGUUUGCUCAAAGUGACAUAUAAAGUUGCCCAGAAGGGUGGCAGGUCUUAAGGUAAGGACAGAGAUGGUGAUCCAUUUUGCUGGUGAUGAUGUGUCACUCUGAGAGGUUGAGUAACUUGCCCAAGGUCACACAAUCAGUAAAUGACUGGACCCCAAGCACCCUGGCCUUCUCCUGACUUCACUUGAGCAAUCUGGCCUUCUGGAACUCUGCCAGAGUCCCCCUGCCCUGCGAUUCUCUAGAUCCUAGCUCUUCCACUCAGGGGUGAGAACCAAGAGCAGGGACAAAACUUCCUUCCACUCUAAGCAUCUUUUGUGGAGAACAAUUUGUUUUUUUACAUUCUCCUUUUCAUUAUUUCCCUCCACUGAACUUAGAAAAGCCUCUUCAAAAGACAAUGGGCUUCUUGUUGACUUUGGGGAAGGAAGGGGACAUUAUAAUGGCACUUUGGUUUUUUUUUUAAAAGGGAGUCUUUUAGAGAUCUAUACUAAAAUAUUUACAGAUGAAACGCUAUGAUGUCCUGGAUUUACUUCAAAAUAAUCCAGGCCUGGGAGUGGGAGGAGGCAUGGGUAGGUACAUAGAGCAAAUAAGAUUGGCCAAGAUUGGUAAUUGUUAAAAUUGGGUAAUGGGGGACAUGGAAUCAUUAUUCUCUCUAUCUUUGUAUAUAUGGUUUGAAAUAUCUAUAACAAAAGCCAGUUGUCUGAUAGGAUUGUUAGCAAAAAGCAGAAGUCAUCAUGGGCUGCAUGCAUUGAUAUAAAAUGUUCAGGACAAGGGAGGGUGGUGAUCUGAGAGACCCCACUUGGAGGGCUAUGCUCCAUUCUGGGCCAUACAUUGUGAGAAGGCCUUUGACAGACAGGAGCAGGUGUAGAGGUGCCAUGGCGAAGGGACUCCAAAUUUUGACUCAUUUCUCUCAGCUGAAAGAACAGGGGUGCUCAGCCUGGAGAGGAAAGAUGGAGAAGGCAGGAAGAGUUGUUCUCACUCACAGGGAGGGCUGUCUGAGAAGAUGGGGGUCUGUCUCAACAUGGAUCUGUGUUCACACAUACCCUUUGCAGGCUCCGCCCAGGGGCCUUUGGCCAAACUUUUCCCCUGAGCCUCACUACCCUCUCUAAACUACGCUUUUCCCCUCAAAGCUCCCCCAGCUUAGGCCAAGAGCAAGCAAUGUGACCUUGCCGGCCAAGUGGGGAUCUGCCAGCUUUGUAAGUCACGAAUGACAUGAAUCUGCUCCUCUCCAUUGGCCCAAAACAUCCUGUUCUCUACAUUCUUCGAUGAGGUCUAACUUGGCUCCAAAACCCCUCCAGGGAAAAGUCUGGGCUGAGGUUGCGCUCCACAUCACACAGCACUAAUCCUUUACAUCUGGACAGAACUGUGCCCUGCGCUCCACUGCACAACUGUCCAUGAGCUCAUCCAGUCCUCCUGACAAGCUCAUCUGAGAGAGAAAGCUGGGGGCAGGACCAGGGACCCCACAACCAUCCUGCACUGCUGCUCCCUCCCCUACACAUAUCCUCAUGGCAUUGACCUCAACUCAUGACGGCAGAAAAUACACUGGAGACACUGUUCUCAGCCUGGCUUGGCCACUAAUUGGUGGAGGCCUGUGGAAACUUCCUUCUCCCUGAGGCUCUGCUGCCUCCUCUGUAAUACAGGGUGGGGUAGGCUCGAGACACUGCCACCCACAUGUAGUUCACGAUUCUGCUAUCUUUCAAAGCCUACUGAGAGGCCUCAAAAAUUAGCUACAAGGACAGAACUGGGAUGAGUCAAAGAAAAGUUUCUUCUUAGGCCAGAAGCUCCAGCAAGGCAAGACCUGGGUGUCACACACACACACACACACACACACACACACACAAUAAUGCCUGCUUUACGGGACUUUUGGAAAGCUCAAACAAUAGUAGGAGUGGGGAAAGCUGAAGGAUUACCAUGACCACCCUUGAGCAGCCAAAGCUGUGGUUUCUGUGUUCCUUCCUUCCUUUGCUCCCACCCUCCGUGCCCUGGCCAGUUGGGAAAUGGACUUUCUUGGAUGCUGGGUUGUUUUCCCUGGCCUGCCUCCAGUUCAGGGCCUGUGUGCACCCUGGAUGGCAGCCAUGGGUGGAACAUUGUGCACUAGGGAGAGCAGGCUGCUGGUGGAAGCCAGAGGCCCAGGCAGAGGUGCUAGAGCCCAGAGGCCCAGGUGGAGGUGCUGGGAUAACUUCUCUAGUUAAAGAGACAUAGCCACUGCGUCCUGGUCCUCAGAGGUGGGAAGUACGGCCCCCUCCCACUCAUAGGCAUAGAAGACCUUUUGUAUUUGGGACCCAAACACUAAGAAGGUGCCUACAACUCAAAUGAUUUCUGCCAUGCUGGAUGAUGACAAAUACUUUCUCGGUGGUGACCCUGAGGCGUGCUGCUGUGCCUCCUGAAUCAUCAAAGACAUAAUCUAUUCCACCAGGAACAAUUGUCACUUUGGGGUUAAUUAUAUUUGACCACAUUCAAUAUAAGAGAAUAAUAAACUUUACCACAUUCAAUAUUUGUAUUAAAAUUUAUGAUUUAUUCAAAACUAUCAGUGUUUUUUUUGUUGUUGUUUUUUGUUUUUUUAACUAGAAGAAUACUAUUUUUAAACAAUUAUAUGAAGAACUCCAAUCUGUGGAAAUGCUCUGGCUGAAACAGGAGAGAGACCCUCGAGCCCCCAAAGAGAGAGCUCAGAUUCUGAGGCACAUUUUUGUUUCGUUUUGUUCCAUUCUGUUAGAGACAAGUCCUAUCUCCCUCAGUCUCGCGUCAUUUUCCAGAUGUGGAUUUGAGCCCAGCUGACCAGUCUGAGAGCUUACCAAUGUCCUUCCAAUACAUUCAGUAUCUGGUUAAGUUAGUAUUUUUCUUAGGAUACAAACCAGACAGUUGUACAAAGAACUCCCCUCGAUUACAGACGUUUUUUAUUUCUUUCUCAUGUAUUGGUUCAGAGGUAGACUGGCUGGUGGUCAGGGCUGGCAGGCAGCUCCUUGAGUCUGUAUAGAAUCCAGAUUCCUUCUAUCUUGGAAUACUGUUUUUUUAAUCCACUGGGUUAAAAUGUACUACUAGAACACUCCAAAAUUCCACAAUACUGAGAAGGUCUAAACAGCCAUCCAGGAUAAACCUCUCUCCACGUGCUGUGAAAGAACACAAGACUGGGAGUGGGAGACGCAGUCCCAACUCCACUGCUUACUGACUGUGCUCUCUGCCUCUCACUCAGCUUCCUCGUCUGUGAGGGACCUGCUCUGCCCUGUCUACCUUGAGGGACUGCUGUGCUGAUCAAAGGGGAUCCUACCCUUGAAGAUGCCUUGGAAUUGCCAAGUGAUGUGCAAACACCAUGGAAAGCAUUUACCAGGUUGCGAGUUUCCUGAGGGUAGAAAGGGUGUCAGCAAUGCCUGACUGGCCUGCAGAGGCCCUUAGAGGGAGUUCAAGAUUUCCAGGGAGUCAGGAAAGUCAGCUGCUGACCCAGGAAGAGCCAGAAGCUCCCUCUGCUUCCUGAAGCGGGUGCAGAGUCAAGGUCCUGUGCAGGAGGUCUUUGAACAGAAACCAGAGGAUGGAUGCUUGUGACUGUGAACUGUCCACCCAUUAGCAUUUUAGCAGACUAGCAGAGUUCACAAAUUUCUGCAGCUAUAUGUGUCCUGUAUAGUAAAACUUCUUUGACAAAAAUGAACAUGUUCAUUAACAGACCCAGAGAUAUAGGCUCUCUGUAGACGUAAAAAAAGGAGCAAAAGUAUAUAAAGUUAAAUUAUGCUCGGUAUGCAUGUUUCAGUAUUCCACUUUGCUUAGAAAUUAUCCAGGGGCUGGUGCUGUGGCUGAGUGUUUAAGUUUGCACGGUCCACUUUGGCAGCCCAGGGUUUUGCC
This is a non-coding RNA of Equus caballus (horse), 6018 nucleotides long. The record is from RefSeq and is a predicted model, not a curated record. NCBI's taxonomy places the organism in Eukaryota, Metazoa, Chordata, Mammalia, Perissodactyla, Equidae.